GGGUCUGACUGGUUUUGACGGCAGGCAGAAAUGGUAGGUAAGCAUGCAGUGUUUCGUAGAUUGACACUCAAAUCACAGUCUUCAAACAAUUAUCUGGCGAAAACAACUACGCUCUCGCUGCUUGAUCUGAAGUACAGUAAGGUCGCUUAAUUCCUGCACAAGGUGCGGGAACGAGACAUCACUCCGGCACUGUCGCCUCGAGGUAACCGGGUCAAGUGGUGCAGUCAAGUCGAGGAUAGUGACGGCCGGCUCCGCAGCCGCCACGAAAUUCAUAGGAGAUAAGGCAUGGGUUGGUGGCUUUGGUCUUGCCCAUGCACGAAAAUGAAGUCAAAGAUAAGCAUGUAGAAAGCCUAUGGUUUCCUUGUUCGGACGAGGGUUCGACUCCCUCCAGAUCCACA
RNAcentral lists this transfer-messenger RNA (398 nucleotides) under chicken gut metagenome. It matches the Rfam family "transfer-messenger RNA". Rfam says of the family: Bacterial tmRNA, also known as 10Sa RNA or SsrA, is named for its dual tRNA and mRNA-like properties. The record is from RNAcentral.